CGAACGAGACCUUCGGGUCUAGUGGCGCACGGGUGCGUAACGCGUGGGAACCUGCCUUUAGGUUCGGAAUAACUCCCCGAAAGGGGUGCUAAUACCGAAUAAUGUCUUCGGACCAAAGAUUUAUCGCCUUUAGAUGGGCCCGCGUUGGAUUAGCUAGUUGGUGGGGUAAAGGCCUACCAAGGCGACGAUCCAUAGCUGGUCUUAGAGGAUGAUCAGCCACACUGGGACUGAGACACGGCCCAG
RNAcentral lists this ribosomal RNA (243 nucleotides) under uncultured bacterium. RNAcentral describes it as "partial 16S ribosomal RNA". It matches the Rfam family "Bacterial small subunit ribosomal RNA", at positions 63 to 334 of the family's 1533-position model. The record is from RNAcentral.